Molecule: ribosomal RNA, 467 nt
Filed under: uncultured bacterium
Lineage: Bacteria
Description: partial 16S ribosomal RNA
Rfam family: Bacterial small subunit ribosomal RNA
Source: RNAcentral
GAUGAACGCUGGCGGCGCGCCUAACACAUGCAAGUCGAACGAUUAAAGCACCUUCGGGUGUGUAUAAAGUGGCGAACGGCUGAGUAACACGUGGGCAACCUGCCCCUUUCAUUGGGAUAGCCACGGGAAACCGUGGAUAAUACCGAAUACUUCGAGACUUCCGCAUGGAAGACUCGAGAAAGCUCCAGCGGAGAGGGAUGGGCCCGCGGCCUGUUAGCUUGUUGGUGGGGUAACGGCCUACCAAGGCAAUGAUGGGUAGCUGGGUUGAGAGACCGACCAGCCAGAUUGGGACUGAGACACGGCCCAGACUCCUACGGGAGGCAGCAGUGGGGAAUCUUGCACAAUGGGCGAAAGCCUGAUGCAGCGACGCCGCGUGCGGGAUGAAGGCCUUCGGGUUGUAAACCGCUUUCAGCAGGGACGAGGCGAAAGUGACGGUACCUGCAGAAGAAGCCCCGGCUAACUACGUG